RNAcentral lists this long non-coding RNA (1293 nucleotides) under Carassius auratus (goldfish). RNAcentral's name for it is "lncRNA (ENSCARG00000021456.1)". The record is from RNAcentral. Lineage: Eukaryota; Metazoa; Chordata; Actinopteri; Cypriniformes; Cyprinidae.
UGUAGAUCAAACGGUGAUCACUUCAUCCUCAGCGCCGCGGGCGAAAUGAGCCUUUGAUGCGGCAGAAGAUGAAAAGAUCCCCGCAAUCAGUCACUUUCUACAGACAUUUGAAAAAGAUCUUUUUGAGUUUGGUCUUGAAGAGCUUGAUGUUCCUGCACACAAACCCAGACCUGAAAAUCAUGAUGCAUGGAGACUGUAUGCACCAGCAUUAGUAUUAGUAGAAGGACAACAAAUUGAUACAACAAUAAUGAAACUUAAAUAAUUCAGCUGUGCAGUAUGUCAGCAAGUGCAAAGAUCUACAGUAGAUGUACAAAUUAUGUUUCCACCUAAUGAUGCUAAAUGUCAUUUUCAAAUGCAGUACAUUUCAAUCCAUCAUACUGCACAUACAAAUGUAGCCACUGUUAAACUGUAGCAGCAAUGUCAGGUGUUUUCUCCCAGAUAGUAAUAAAAAGACAACAAUUCAAGCAGUAUUUGUCUUUGUACAUGCUGUGAAAAGAAUGAACAGAGGAAAAACCGUGGAAUGCCUUGAUCUUUUGAGGUGAAUGAAAUAACAUUUCUGUUGCAUUGUUUAUUUUAUAGAUUAUCAGAAGGGAUUGGUCUUUAGGAGAAAAUGAAAGUUUAACAAAGAAAUGAAACCUUUUUGUUAGGAAUAUAUAGUUUUAUUUAAGACAACUGGUUAUUUUGUGCAAUACGGCUUCUUAAAGUGGUAGUUCACACAUUUUAUGAUUCUGUGAUCAUUCCGUUUUUGGGUAAACGUUCUCUUUAAACACAAAGUCACGUUCAGCAUUCCCAACCUUCAUAUUACUAAUUACCUACAGUAAAAACCACAUUUGCUUUUUAGCUGCUUGAAGUAGCUGCUAAAUGACUUUGCUCAGGUCAAAUACGAAGGAUAUUUAAUUGUACAUCUUUACAAUAUAAACCUUUUUACUUGACAGUCAAAUGCAAGUUUAAAUAAAAAUGUGAAAAGUAAAAUCUUUUAAAAAACUUUCUUCUUUCUUCUUCCUUGAGCAGUUUCUCACCUGUUGCUGUAAGGCAGUGGCAUCCCUGAACAAUGCAGUUUGUUUGAGCAGCUGUAUCCAUCACAAUAGAUACAGGUCUUUCAUCCUUGCCGACAUCAAUGGACCCAUUUACACAGACAGACACAUUGUUUAAGCUUCACAUUAGCACUGAUGCCACCUAAAAAUAGGAAUGCUUCAGAAAAAAAAAACUGCACAUCAUUUUGACGAUAAAUUGAUAUGUUAACAUUUUUUAGUUUUCUAAUUUCAAACAGUUUUUUUUUUUUUAGAUAUAAAU